This 496-nucleotide ribosomal RNA is filed under the name uncultured bacterium. RNAcentral describes it as "partial 16S ribosomal RNA". It matches the Rfam family "Bacterial small subunit ribosomal RNA", at positions 28 to 506 of the family's 1533-position model. The record is from RNAcentral.
GAUGAACGCUGGCGGCGUGCCUAAUACAUGCAAGUCGAGCGAACAGAUGAGGAGCUUGCUCCUCUGACGUUAGCGGCGGACGGGUGAGUAACACGUGGAUAACCUACCUAUAAGACUGGGAUAACUUCGGGAAACCGGAGCUAAUACCGGAUAAUAUAUUGAACCGCAUGGUUCAAUAGUGAAAGACGGUUUUGCUGUCACUUAUAGAUGGAUCCGCGCCGCAUUAGCUAGUUGGUAAGGUAACGGCUUACCAAGGCAACGAUGCGUAGCCGACCUGAGAGGGUGAUCGGCCACACUGGAACUGAGACACGGUCCAGACUCCUACGGGAGGCAGCAGUAGGGAAUCUUCCGCAAUGGGCGAAAGCCUGACGGAGCAACGCCGCGUGAGUGAUGAAGGUCUUCGGAUCGUAAAACGCUGUUAUUAGGGAAGAACAAAUGUGUAAGUAACUAUGCACGUCUUGACGGUACCUAAUCAGAAAGCCACGGCUAACUACGU